AUCUUCCGUCACGGAUCCUGUAAGUCCUGCUGCUCCACCUGCACCGGCUCCUGCCUCUGCCUCUGUAGCCACAUCAGGACAUUCUCAGCAGCAAGACGAUUGGUUGUGGUACUAGGAGGGGCAAACUCUAUUAUUUGGACCUGGCAUCUGACAGUGAAGCCAGCCUCAGUCAAGCUUACAAAAUUGGGGGGACGAGUGUUGAGAAGAAAACUUC
This is a non-coding RNA of Prunus avium (sweet cherry), 214 nucleotides long. Lineage: Eukaryota; Viridiplantae; Streptophyta; Magnoliopsida; Rosales; Rosaceae. The record is from RefSeq and is a predicted model, not a curated record.